UAAUCUUUUUGGACCAAAUUUAUUUAAAAUUCAAUCUUCAUUUUCUGAAAUUAUUUUUAAUUCCCGCGGGAAAAAUAUUAAUUUAUUAACUGUAAACUUCCCAACGUUCUUAUUUUUCUGAAAAAGGCAUGGCCUUUCCCGAACAGGCGCCAAGCCUUUCCGAACAGUCACAAUUCGAGGUUAUAUAAACUGAGGCAAUGCCUCAUUUUCGAGUAGUGAAAAAAAAAAUUAUUCGUGCAUUAAAAAUUCUGCAUUCUUUUCUGCAAACUGAAACAUAUC
This 279-nucleotide long non-coding RNA is filed under the name Nicotiana benthamiana. RNAcentral's name for it is "long non-coding RNA (NBEN_LNC004671)". The record is from RNAcentral. Lineage: Eukaryota; Viridiplantae; Streptophyta; Magnoliopsida; Solanales; Solanaceae.